GCCUUGAGCAUCGACUUCUUGAACGCAAAUAGCGACAUCAGGCUCUGCCUGCUGUCACGCCUGGCCGAGUGUCGGCAUUAAAUAUAUCGCGACGCUUAAUUAGUCGUGGCUUGGUUUGCUGUCAGCCGUCGUGUUUGCCUUUUCAACGUGUUGCCUAGUUGUUAAGUCGACGGAGUUUUUGACGCUUACCCAAAGUAAUGGAGAGUGCUUGCAUAUGCGCUGGCUCAUCCAGUUGCUUCUAGUGGUUGCCACACUGUCAUGCAUCUGUUCUUUGUUUGCUUCUAUUUCUCAGAUGUGGACGGCUGGUCUAUCGCUAGAUGAGCGUGUUUUCUGGUUGUCAGUCGCUGUGACGUGGGAAUUUCGAAAAGCAUUUAUGAAUUAUCAUUGCAAUGUUUAUUGUCAUAAAUGUGGUUCUCCUGAGCCUAUUGGCCUCGGGUUGUGCGGUGACCAAUGUUGCUUUACGUGCGUGCACAUGCAUGCCGGGUCGCAGCCUAUUGUGAUCGCGACCUCGUGCGUUGCUUGUGUUGUGCACGUGAAGUUUGUUGCUGCUACUUGCGCGUAAGCGCGAGACUGAUCCGAUGUGAGAUCGUUUGCCCAAGUCAGGUGCAGCUUGAAUUGCAACUCUGGCGUUGAGGUGCUUUUUGGUGUCACGGGCAUUCUUGUAGAGUGUUGUGUGCUCACCUGGCCUCGGAUUAGGCGUGAUGACCCGCUGAACUUAAGCAUAU
RNAcentral lists this unclassified non-coding RNA (725 nucleotides) under Paradiplozoon bingolensis. Its description in RNAcentral is "sequence contains 5.8S rRNA gene, ITS2 and 28S rRNA gene". The record is from RNAcentral. Lineage: Eukaryota; Metazoa; Platyhelminthes; Monogenea; Mazocraeidea; Diplozoidae.